Molecule: unclassified non-coding RNA, 3741 nt
Filed under: Hevea brasiliensis (rubber tree)
Lineage: Eukaryota; Viridiplantae; Streptophyta; Magnoliopsida; Malpighiales; Euphorbiaceae
Source: RNAcentral
AAAAAACUUUGCAAUGAUUAUAAUAAUUUGGAUUUCCAUUAAAAAAAGAACCUCAAGAAAUUCUGAUGCUUUCUUCUCCAGUUUGUGUGGCAAUGAGAAAAUUAUAUAGAAUAGAAUAGACAGGCUAAAAAAGAAAGAGAAAAAGGAGCAAACUUUUCAAUUUUUGUAAUGCCUAUGGUUACUGUGGAAGAGAGAGAAAACAGGAAACAGAGGCAGAAUGCUCGCCUUAACCAUUAAUUACUUUGAUUAAUACAGCUUAAUCUUCUUCUAUAAUUGGGUUUACAAACCAAACCUUUGCGGCGAGGUCACUCAGUAACGGAAAGGAACUGAUUCCCCCACCGCAACUCACCCACCCUUUUGCUUCUCCUGAUCAAUUUUUUUUUUAUUUUUUAGAAUUUGAUGAAUUAUUUUCACGUAUUCUCGAUUCCCAUCCAAAAUUAUUAUUAGGGUUUUCAAUUUUAAUUCUUUUAAAACAUUUAGGACUAUUGAUUCUUGUUUGCGUAUCCAAAGAGUGGUGGCUGGUGAGGGAUAUUCCAGAUUUCUACGUUAAUUUCCGUGUUGUUUUGACCUUUUUCAUCUUUUUAAUAUAUAUAUAUUCGUUUUUUUUAUUCUUUAUCGGUGUCUGAUUUCUUGUAAUUUUCUGGGGGAUUAUUAGGUUUUUUCGUGGCGGCUUCUUGAUCUUUUCCCUGUAAUUUGGAGAUUAGAUUAUUUGAUAGCAUUUUUAGUUAGUGGAUUUUGUGUGUUAAUGGUGGUAUGUGAGUGCUAUUAAUUAGUUAUGUUAAAGAAGCAAAGCACCUUCCGUUUGUUCUUUAACCAUUUAUCUACCCUAAAUCAUCACCGUCACUGCCAUCAUUAUAGAGCUCUGAUCAUGGCUUAUGUAACCCCUAACGAUUCUUUCUUCAAGGGAUUUCACAAUCUAACUCAGCCGGCUACGUCUUCCUCGUCAAUUGUUCCUUAUUCUAAGAUCAAUACUGUUUCCAUUGACAAUACUAGUAGUGCUAUUUCUGGUUUUAGGAUAAACAGAGGCGGCGGUGUUGGAUUGACGCUGAGAGGCUGCUUUGACUCUCACGAAACCGGGAAUGAAAGGAGGCCUCGUGCAUUUGCCGCUCCCCACCAUCAACUAGUGCGUGAUCUCGAGACUCGACUGGAAGAUAGCAGCAGCAGCAGCAAUAGUGCUCGAUACAUAAAUGGUCACGGGACUUGUCAAGGUGGAAAGCUUUUUCGCUUCCCUGACUACCCUCUUACUGGAAAAAUUGCCGUGGCAGUUGAUGUUGAUGAGGUUCUUGGGAACUUUGUAUCGGCUUUGAACAGAUUUAUUGCUGAUCGGUACUCUUCCAAUCAUUCAGUAUCAGAGUACUAUGUUUACGAGUUCUCCAAGAUAUGGAACUGUUCCCGUGAUGAAGGUAUAGCCAGAAGUCCUUUAUAAUGCUAAAUUUUAGUUUGCCAUGCAAUGAAGCAUUUAGUCCCUUUAAAUGUACAUUUUUGUAUGAAAUUCCUGAAGUUUUUCUGAUGAAAAUUCAGACUGAUGGUCUUGCUACUGAGACACAUUAAUAUUGUUGACUGUAUUAUUUUUCUUUGUUUUGAGCUGUUUCUCAGAGAAAAGGUUCAUUUAGAAGUUGUGGUCUGGCUUUUAGUAGCUGUGUCAAAACUCAGAAGUAAUGGAGUAAUCUUUGUGGAUUCUCUCAAAUAAGAUGCGCGUAUGUGAAAAUAAGUCUUGUAACUUGAGUAACUCCUACUAAGUAACAAGAGGUUUUUCAAGGUUUCAAAACCUUGGAUAUGUGUUGGGGAGAACAUGUAGUUUUUUAAAGAACAUGUAGUGUUUAAAGUAAGGUUUUUGGAGGUUUUUGAAAACUUCCAAAAACCUCCAUUUCUAACCCACCAAAUUGGUGGAUUGAGAAGGUUUUUUUUUUUCUUUAAAACCUUCAAAUGCCUUAAAGAAUUUCCAUUUCUCUCAACCGAUAAAAAAUUAUUUUAAAAAUAUAAAAAACUUUACUUUAAAAAAUUUUACUUAAAAAAAAAAAAUCUUACUUUACCUCCUUCCAAAUAACGUGUAAAAUUCCAAAAUGCAGUUUUGGAAACUUCAAAGGGUUUGUUCUUUCUAUCGUGUGGAUGUUCAACCUUACCAUGUGACUUUCAGUUUGAAUAUUUCUCAAUGUUCAAAUUUAAAAUGAAAUAACUUCCAAGAUAGAGGAAUACAUGUUAGCCUGAAUUGUUGUUCUGGAAGUAAAAAACUGCUUGGAUUUUGUCUAAUUGAAUUAGAGGAUUACUGUACCAUGAUUUUGGUUGUGGGAGAUUUGCAGCCAAUGCUCGUGUCCAUGAGUUCUUUAAGACACCAUAUUUCAAAUCUGGGAUCUACCCAAUCCCCGGUGCUCAGCAGGCGCUUCAUAAGUUGUCAAGACUUUGUAAACUGUCUGUUGUGACGUCUCGGCAGAAUAUUAUCAAGGAUCACACAAUUGAGUGGAUAGAGAAGCACUAUCCAGGAGUGUUUCAAGAGAUACACUUUGGCAACCACUUUGCUCUGGAUGGAGAGUCCAGACCUAAGUCAGAAAUAUGCAGGUCCUUAGGUGCAACAGUGCUGAUUGAUGAUAACCCAAGAUAUGCCAUCGAAUGUGCUCAAGUUGGAAUCAGGGUUUUGCUUUUUGAUUAUGAGAACUCAUAUCCUUGGAGCAAGAGUGAUUCAGUUCAUCAGCAUCCCUUGGUCUCUAUAGUUCAUAACUGGGAACAAGUAGAGGAACGACUAAUAUCGUUGAUUUCUUAGUUUUAAAUGAUUUCAGAACAAUUCGCAAAAGUAUCAUCUAUUCGUUGAUAUGCUAUAAUUGAUUCUUAUGCCUGGAACAUUGAAAUGCAUGCUGCCGACGAAGCUGACCUUAUGGUGUAGACUGUAGAGGCUUUUGGGAAUACAACUGUAAGGAGACCAGCGAAAUAAGCUUCUGGUGAAUGAGCAAUAGCAGCAUCUGAAUUAUAGUAUUAGUAGUGAAGUGACGAUCUUGUAUAUUUUUCUUACUUUUGAGGCAUGUUGAGGAGAUCUAGGACACUAAAUUGCCAAUGGACAGAAUACCAUGUGGCCCUUCCUUUUUUAUUUUAUUUUAUUUUAAUUUCAUUUAAGAUUAUUUGGGGGCAGGUUAGAGGUUAUUUUCUCAGCAAGGUUGAAGUUAAAUUUUGGGUUAAAUCUAUUGGCUUAUGUGGAUCUGAUAAGGAAACAAUUUUACAAAUAGAUAAGUCAUCUUAAUUGGUGAUUCACUUGAUUCAGGCUUGAUUCAUGUAUGUUUGUGAUUUGGUCAAUGUCUCAAAUUAUGUGGAUUGGGAGUCAACUUGAAUUGAAUGAUUCUAGGGGCAUUUCCUUCUUAGGUAGAAUAGCGUCCAAUAGAAUUUAUUCAUUUCUUUGAGGAUAAAGAAUAUAUUACCUGAUUUCUUGUUCUUGAUAUCUGUUUAUGGUUUUGUCCUGGAAGAAUAGUUUUUAAUUAUUGAUUUGACAUGUCUGAUGGAGAAAUUAUGAAGAAUUGUUAUGUGUUUCGAAGUCUUUCAACCAUCCUUUCACUGCUAGUAUAGUGUAAAAUAAGAAAUGUUGUUUAACGUGAGCAAGUUAAAUACAAACUCAAAGUCCUUAAGAAGUAAUUAAAUGUCUGUGGAGGGAUGGAAAUGCAAAAGCAUUCUGCAGAGGGAUAAGGGUUUCUUGCUAUCUUACAGACAGAUGGUUAAAACUUGAGACUUUGGUCUCCUGGAUAACUUUAUGUAAAUAUA